UUGGUUUGUAUCAAUCUACUUCUUGUCUUUGGUUUCUUGCAGUAAUUGUCUUUUUUGUCUUUAUUGUCAUCACUGUAAAGUCUAGUAUGCCGCAAUUGUUCUGGAAGGUGUUCAGUCAUUGGUUCUUUAUGAUUUAUGGUUAAGCCUUUUGCAGCCUUUAGUUUCAGUCUUUUGGCAUUAUUUGGCAGUGCUUUAUUUCAAUAUUUGAUUUCACAGCCUGUAUACUUCUUUGCAUUGAAAGUCUGGAUUUUUUAUUUUCAAGUUUAAUUUAAGGUGAAUUUGUCUAUCUAGACAGGAGUGCAAAUUGUUGACAUUUGCUUGGCUACUAGACCUCACAAUGGUGGCCUAAUUAGCUUAGAAGAUCUCUGUAGACUUCUUGGUCAAAGGAGGAAGGGUGCUCGUGAAGCUAUUUCUGAGGAUGAUUGCUUGCGUGCGAUAAGUAAGCUAAAGGUAUCGUGGUUACGAUUUUCUCUAUUUUUCUCUUGCUACUGUGGGCCUUAAAAAGUUAUACUAGGCACAUGCAUUCGCUAUUGCACGCCUCCAGUCCAUUUAUGGAACCUUGUUUACUGAGUGCGUUCUAUUUUACAAGGAUCCACAAUUGUUCUGAAUUUUAAGAAGUGAUAAUGGUGUAGUUGACAUAAUAAGUAUGCUUCCAUUUCAUGUUGUACAAUUAUAUGAGCACUGUGCCACAAACAAGAAAUCUAUUGAUUGACUGCAGCAGGCUAGUUAUAUGUUGUCGUUGGCUCAAAUUUCUUAUUUGUAAUCGUCAAGCUGUAAAGUACAAUUUUGAGGAAUAAUAAGCUAUCUCUCACUCGAGUUCUUGUCUAUCUCUCUCAUGUUUGUGGUUUCCCUGAUUUUAUACUUAGCUUCCAAGCUGCCUUGUUGGAGCUUAAGGUCUUCUAAAAGCUAGUAAUUUAUUUAUGCUUAACAUUGGGCAUCACUUUCCACUAACUAAGCUUCUGCAUCACUUAGUUGACUGAUUUACGUAGUAUGUUUUGAGACAGCCAAGUGUUGCAUGAGUACUUGUAAGAGUUCCGUAUGAGACAAUCAAUCCAGGUGUUCGGUUGGAUAAGGGGAUGUUAAGGACUGCACCUGAAUUGGAAAGAACCAAUCCAUUGAUCAUCUGAUGUUCACAUUGAUUUGGAAUUACUCUGAACCACUUCUUAUGCUUCACUGUUAGCCGAGAGUAAAGUAGGACUUCUCUUUCAACUGUUGCCCUAAGUUGCGAACUGAUGUCUUGACAGAACAGCUUUCGACUUUUCGCUCUCAGCUGGAAGAUUUUGCUCGCAAACACAAGGUCCCUUUUUUAGUUAGAUUCAAGUUCUCAUUUAGUUUUGUUAAGUAUCCACUUAAUUAUUUAAUUCCCCACUUUUACAUUGGUCAUGGAUUAAUAAUUUCCUGCUAAUUCAUAUUGAUACGAAAACAUUUACUUAAUUAAGGACAAAAGGACUUAAGGGUUGCUUAACUGCUGGAGUAUUCGAAUUAUGCUCAUUGAUGGGUAGAAGAUUGUGAAAAAGAAGAUAGAAAAUAAUUUACUUGUCAUGGUAUAUGCAGAAUGAUAUACGCAAGAAUCCUGCAUUCAGGGCACAGUUCCAUGAGAUGUGUGCAAAAGUAGGUGUGGACCCGCUGGCCUCGAAUAAAGGUUUUUGGGCUGAGCUACUGGGGAUUGGUGACUUCUAUUAUGAACUUGGUUUGUAUCAAUCUACUUCUUGUCUUUGGUUUCUUGCAGUAAUUGUCUUUUUUGUCUUUAUUGUCAUCACUGUAAAGUCUAGUAUGCCGCAAUUGUUCUGGAAGGUGUUCAGUCAUUGGUUCUUUAUGAUUUAUGGUUAAGCCUUUUGCAGCCUUUAGUUUCAGUCUUUUGGCAUUAUUUGGCAGUGCUUUAUUUCAAUAUUUGAUUUCACAGCCUGUAUACUUCUUUGCAUUGAAAGUCUGGAUUUUUUAUUUUCAAGUUUAAUUUAAGGUGAAUUUGUCUAUCUAGACAGGAGUGCAAAUUGUUGACAUUUGCUUGGCUACUAGACCUCACAAUGGUGGCCUAAUUAGCUUAGAAGAUCUCUGUAGACUUCUUGGUCAAAGGAGGAAGGGUGCUCGUGAAGCUAUUUCUGAGGAUGAUUGCUUGCG
RNAcentral lists this long non-coding RNA (2118 nucleotides) under Olea europaea (common olive). Its description in RNAcentral is "long non-coding RNA (OEUR_LNC002625)". The record is from RNAcentral. Lineage: Eukaryota; Viridiplantae; Streptophyta; Magnoliopsida; Lamiales; Oleaceae.